AUGUUCCUAAAAACUUCCGCAGCGUCUGCUGAUCCGGUACUGCACACACUUCAUUUACCAUCAUUUCUUUUCACUCUACAACGAUUGAGUGCAAACUACACGAACAAUCCAACCGUGUUUCACAAACUAUCCGUUUUGUCUGAAUAGAAUUAUUAAAGACACACAAAAUGCUCCAUUUAAACCGUGAAAAUGCGAUCGUUAGUGCAACGCAAAAUGGCCUGUCUCCUCAUUUACUCAGCAUGAAAAAUGGCUGUGACUCGUCCGUCAGGGUUACGCUAUCACAACACUUGCAACACAGUUGACAUAGAUUUUUGUUGCCAAAACUUUCAUCACCUAAUGCACGACGUUCUGCAAACGAAAAGAAAAAAAAGAGUUGCAUCGAAAAAAGGGGGACGAUUUGAUUUUCUAGUGAGCAAAUGAAAUUCAGUUGAUGUCAAUGGCUGCUUGUUCACUUCAAAAAUAAUGCACACACUGAUGUCUAUUGAUUUUCCUACAAUCUGGCCUUCGUCGGUGGUUGUCGACGGCACUCCACGACAAACUAUUUGAAUUCCAUUUCUUUUAGAUCGCCUAAACGAUUGGGCACCGGUCAGAUUUCCAAUAGAUUUGUUGCAACCAAAAAUGACGUGGAAUAAACGAACAAGUAAAAAAUA
Daphnia magna is the source of this 650-nucleotide long non-coding RNA. RefSeq lists it as uncharacterized. NCBI's taxonomy places the organism in Eukaryota, Metazoa, Arthropoda, Branchiopoda, Diplostraca, Daphniidae. The transcript has 2 exons. The record is from RefSeq and is a predicted model, not a curated record.